UUAGUGUUGACCAAAUACCAUAUUUGGGUUCUCCGUGAUUGUUCCGCAUCCAUCUACGGUUCGAAAAUUCGAUCAACCGCACGAGAGCCGCCUGUUCUUAUGUGCAACGUUCGAAGCAGCUUGGUAUAUAUUAGUUUAUUUUUCUUUGCUUAACAAUAAGCACCUAGCUAUGCCUUGAAGAUUUGAUUUGAUCGACUCCAGGGGUUCCAACGAAUUAGUAUUUGGGAAGUUGUAGCAUUAGUCCAUGGGCAAAUUUUAGUUUUUGUUUUCUUGUGAAACUGCCGGUCGUAUUUGUUGGAACGGUCACCGGGUUUUCAAGAUAAUAAAAGGGGGCUGCAACCAUGAAAGAAAAAAUGGUUUAUAGCCGGAUAAGGCUUUGGGAAUUGGGAUCAAUAGGUCCUGGGUUCGAUUCUCAUGAGUUAUAGAUGGAUAUGAUCGGGUGGUUCCGCCGGUGGUACGUUGAUACUUGAGUGGUCCAUCAGUGAUCCAAAUUUACCGUUCAAAAAAAUAUAUAUAAGCUAAUGUGAUCAUCCUUUUAAUAGACAGUAUGAAGUAUUUAAUUUGGUGAUAUAUGGCCGUAAAAACAUUUAAGUAUUUUAGAAGAAGUUAUAAUAAUUAUUUGUCUCAUUGUAUAAUUGAAUUGCUAUGUAGUUUAUAUGCUACCAUUUAUUUAUUUGAAAAUCGGAUAUGGGUUAUUAGAACCAUCUAGCACCUCUGUAUGUUUAAAUCACUACUAGGCUAUCACCCGGGAACAUCCCGGGCUAGGAAAAUUUAAUUUUCAAUAAUCAAAAGUACAUAAAUAACAUUUUGAAUCUCUUAAGUUUCUUGUUUCCCUUCCCACCACAAAUUUUUUGUUUGGUUUCAUCAGCAUCCCAACUUUGCAUCCAUAUGUAUUCAAAGUUUUCAUAUAAAACUAAUUCCUUUUUAAUUCAUAAUGAGAUCUCUGUAUAAAAAUGUUUUCGCAACCCAUACGCCAGUGGUGGCUUUGAUGGUGUGCGGGGAGGACCUCCGCACAAGGCCCAAGAUUUCGAGGGGCACAUGAUUUGUAAAAUAAAUCCGAUAUAUGUAUAUGUUAAUAUUUUUUAAAAUAGUAAACACAUAACAAUUCCAAUAUAGGUCUAUUUACAAAUCGUUUAUCAUGGUUUAGAAUUUAGCUCACUUGGCAUUAGGUUUAUUAAGCCCGAUAAUAAUUUGAUUUAAAAAAAAAUAAUAAAACAUUACGAAAGGGCACAUUUCUUCAAGCUCGAACAGGGUACGUGAAUUCUCAAAGACGCCUUUGCCAUACGCCUAAGAAGACACGCCAUGGUGGAUGAAUAGCCAAAGGGGCCUAUUACCCAUAUUUUUUUUUUUUGGAUCACACCAAUUGUUUAAAUCAACAACAUAUUUCACCUCAUCAUCUAAAAUAAAUAACUAUAUAUGAACUCAAACUUUAUCAUAAUCACAAUAUUAUAAAACUAAGCUGUUAAAUGAGCAUCGCAUGUAAAAGAACUUGUAGAAUUUCUAGUUGUUAAACUAAACUACAUUUUUAAGUUAUGAUAAGCCAUGCCUUUGGAAUCAUUUUAAUAUAAUAAAAAGGAGCUAGUGGAAUGUUUUCAAUAUGCAAAUUUGACUGACAUUAGUAUUUAUUAAGAUGUUGAAAGCAAUUGCAUUUAUAUUUUCUACAUUCCCAUUACCUAUGAAGAGGGCAAGUAACCGUAGACCAAAUAAGGAAAACUAAAAGAUAAUAAUUAACCUUAAAAGGCUCGUUAUAAGUUUGAAACUCAAUUCCAGGUAUGAAGUGUAACCAUAGUGGAAGCCUACUGUUUUUGAAAGCAAUUAUAAAGCACCGGGAACAAAAUCAUACAAUAAGGAAAACAAACUCAAAGACGCAAAUGACCACAUGCAUGAUCAAAUAACAUUGGCAGUAAUACUAAAGCAUACAAUUUGCUUUGCUUCUUAGUUUCUUUAAAAUUCUCUUUCUUUACCUCCAUCAACGGCUUCCUCUCACUUUUACUUUCCAUCAAGAUUCCAACUUCAGGUUGGUAAUCAAAUCUUACCUUAAAGAAAAAAUGCAAGGAAACCGAACCUAGUUAUUAUUAAUACCCGAACCCGAAUACCCAUCUUCAGUUUGGCAAUCAAAUGUUAUUUUUUGGAUUCAACUUUACCCGAAUAAC
This 2153-nucleotide long non-coding RNA is filed under the name Helianthus annuus (common sunflower). RNAcentral describes it as "hypothetical non coding rna". The record is from RNAcentral. Lineage: Eukaryota; Viridiplantae; Streptophyta; Magnoliopsida; Asterales; Asteraceae.